The sequence is a small nuclear RNA, 115 nucleotides long. Its record names the gene U4. It matches the Rfam family "U4 spliceosomal RNA". Rfam says of the family: U4 small nuclear RNA (U4 snRNA) is a component of the major U2-dependent spliceosome. The structure of U4 snRNA from yeast and human has been reported. The record is from Ensembl.
AGUUUUGAGCAUUGGCAGUAUCGUAGCCUAUGAGGUCCAUCUGAAGCGUAAUUAUUGCCAGUUGAAAACUUUAUCCAAUACCCUUGGCGACAAUUUUUGACAGUCUCUGAGGUGA